UCUAGUAAUGCAGCUUGCUACUCACCUGGUGCUUCUAGUAGUGCAGGUACAAACCAAGCAAGUACUUACCCUGAAGGUACUUCUUAAAUGCACCCUGGUCCUAGUGCUAAUGGGCUCAUCUCCAGCAUUCCCCAAUUCACUCAAGACCAGUACAAUUAACUUCUUCAAUUGCUUUGAAAAGAAGCAGAUACUACCGAUUCCCCUGUGACAGCAGGUAUGACAACUUCUGCCGUAGCUGGUGGUGUGUUCAAUACCUCUAAAAAAUGGAUAGUUAACUCUGGUGCCUCCGCUCAUAUGGUUAAUACCCUCAAUCUUCUCACAGAUCCUAAAAUCAUUGACAGUAUCAAAUAUGGUAAAGUAUACUUACAAAAAAUAAGUAUAGCCUAUGUGAAACAUGUAGGAUUAGCUUGCAUUCUUCAAGGGCAAAAGAUAACAAAUAUUAUGCACAUUCCUGAAUUCAACUAUAAUUUGAUGUCUGCCUCUAAAUUGACUAAAGAGUUGAGAUGGGUUGUGUUGUUCUAUCUUGAUUUUUGUAUAUUUCAGGAUCUCUUAAGUGGUCAGGUGAAGGGAAUUGGUAAAUAAGAUGACGGACUAUAUGUGAUAACAACUGGAAACAUGAUUGAUAUUCAAGAUGAGACUAAAGGUGUUACAAGAGUCACUCAGGCUUCUGUGAUGAAUAAACAACAAGAUUCCGUAUUGUGGCAUAGAAGACUA
Molecule: long non-coding RNA, 714 nt
Filed under: Capsicum annuum
Lineage: Eukaryota; Viridiplantae; Streptophyta; Magnoliopsida; Solanales; Solanaceae
Description: long non-coding RNA (CANN_LNC005822)
Source: RNAcentral